GUGCCUUGUUCUCCCGUUCAAGAGCGUCCAUACAAACAGAACCCAUUCUUCUCCCAAACAGGGACCACCCAGAUGCCCCAUUAGAAUGUUCCCCCCAAUUAAUCAGAAUGUUCACACCUGUAACAUAGGUGCGAAACUGCAAGGGAAGUAAUUAAUGAGUGCUCCCCUGGGUGGCUGCCAUUUCGUAUAGAAGAACGCCAACCAGGGGGAACAUUCCUAUCCCCAAAAGAAGACGCUUCCCUUGCCGGGGGUUUGCACAGGAACCUCAUGAACGGAAACCGGUUGGUUAAAUGUACUGUGCGGGGGUUCCUAAGAUUGGUGGGUACACUUCUGGGGCACUGGCUAUCUUGGCGGGCUUUCUGUGCCUGGGAGGCAAAGACACUAGGUCCCUUUUUCCCACGCCUGGGCUCCCAUGCACAGAGGAUCCUGGGAUGGAAACCUAUGUUUGCUUAUGGGGAAGACCCCUUGCAAGGGGUUAUGCAUAAAAACGGUG
Pelobates cultripes (western spadefoot toad) is the source of this 493-nucleotide non-coding RNA. The record is from the annotation of a GenBank genome assembly. Lineage: Eukaryota; Metazoa; Chordata; Amphibia; Anura; Pelobatidae.